RNAcentral lists this ribosomal RNA (473 nucleotides) under uncultured bacterium. Its description in RNAcentral is "bacterial SSU rRNA". It matches the Rfam family "Bacterial small subunit ribosomal RNA", at positions 355 to 825 of the family's 1533-position model. The record is from RNAcentral.
UGGGGAAUAUUGCGCAAUGGGCGAAAGCCUGACGCAGCAACGCCGCGUGAGUGAUGAAGGCCUUCGGGUCGUAAAGUUCUGUCGGAGGGAACGAAUGCUCCUGAAGUUAACAGCCUCAGGAGGUGACGGUACCCUCAAAGGAAGCACCGGCUAACUCUGUGCCAGCAGCCGCGGUAAUACAGAGGGUGCAAGCGUUGUUCGGAUUUACUGGGCGUAAAGCGCGUGUAGGCGGGCUGGAAAGUUGGGGGUGAAAUCCCGAGGCUCAACCUCGGAACUGCCUUCAAAACUUCCAGCCUGGACUCAAGUAGAGGCAAGUGGAAUUGCGAGUGUAGAGGUGAAAUUCGUAGAUAUUCGCAGGAACACCAGUGGCGAAGGCGACUUGCUGGACUUGUAGUGACGCUGAGACGCGGAAGCGUGGGGAGCAAACAGGAUUAGAUACCCAGGUAGUCCCUGAGCGGGCUGGCAAGGCGCAU